Mycena latifolia is the source of this 90-nucleotide non-coding RNA. NCBI's taxonomy places the organism in Eukaryota, Fungi, Basidiomycota, Agaricomycetes, Agaricales, Mycenaceae. The record is from the annotation of a GenBank genome assembly.
GACUCGGUGGCGGAUGGACCGCGCCCGUUGUUCAUGGCCGACAAACGCGUGAUUUGGUGGGAGGCGCCUGUUCGAAUCAGGCCCGAGUCG